GCAUUAAUGGGGUAGUGGUAACCUGGGUUGUUGCCAUGUCCUGGAAAAGAUGUGUCGACCCGCCGGGGGUUCGAUUCCCCCUUAAUGCA
Molecule: non-coding RNA, 89 nt
Organism: Mucidula mucida
Lineage: Eukaryota; Fungi; Basidiomycota; Agaricomycetes; Agaricales; Physalacriaceae
Source: the annotation of a GenBank genome assembly